UUGGAGGGCAAGUCUGGUGCCAGCAGCCGCGGUAAUUCCAGCUCCAAUAGCGUAUAUUAAAGUUGUUGCAGUUAAAAAGCUCGUAGUUGAAUUUCGGGAUCAAUACGUCGGUCGUGCUUCGGUACGUACUGGCGUCAUCGAUUUCUCCCUUCUGACGAACCAUGAUGUCAUUAACUUGGUGUCAUGGGAAAUCAGGACUGUUACUUUGAAAAAAUUAGAGUGUUUAAAGCAGGCUCACGCUUGAAUACAUUAGCAUGGAAUAA
RNAcentral lists this ribosomal RNA (263 nucleotides) under uncultured Glomus. Its description in RNAcentral is "partial 18S ribosomal RNA". It matches the Rfam family "Eukaryotic small subunit ribosomal RNA", at positions 548 to 817 of the family's 1831-position model. The record is from RNAcentral. Lineage: Eukaryota; Fungi; Glomeromycota; Glomeromycetes; Glomerales; Glomeraceae.